GGGCGAUUAGCUCAAUUGGCAGAGCGCUACCCUUACACGGUAGAUGUUACUGGUUCAAGUCCAGUAUCGCCCA
Molecule: transfer RNA, 73 nt
Filed under: Lentisphaerota bacterium
Lineage: Bacteria; Pseudomonadati; Lentisphaerota
Description: Lentisphaerae bacterium (anaerobic digester metagenome) tRNA-Val
Rfam family: tRNA
About the family: Transfer RNA (tRNA) molecules are approximately 80 nucleotides in length. Their secondary structure includes four short double-helical elements and three loops (D, anti-codon, and T loops).
Source: RNAcentral